RNAcentral lists this long non-coding RNA (23702 nucleotides) under Malus domestica (apple). RNAcentral's name for it is "long non-coding RNA (MDOM_LNC011599)". Lineage: Eukaryota; Viridiplantae; Streptophyta; Magnoliopsida; Rosales; Rosaceae. The record is from RNAcentral.
CGGAGAGAAAGUAUUUGGUUGUCUCGGUGGGAUUCGGUAGAUAACUUGUCUUGCUGAGGUUCUAGCUCUCGAUCGAGGUGAGUGGUUUAUGUAAUGUUUUCAAAAUAUUCUUAUUUUCCUAUAAAUGUGAAAACCAUGAGCUAUCGUAGGUUUUGAUCUAUUUCCAAAUAUCUCUCUAUUUCAAGUCAAGCAUGUUGGAUUUGUUGAAAUGUUUUCGGAGUUAUUAUAUAUGGUGAUAUGUGGAUAAUUGGAUAUGCUUAUGGAGCAUAAGAACUUUAGUGUUGGGCUAUCCUAGGGAUAAACGUAUGGCACAUGGUGACAUUAGGGCAGAAUGACCAAUUUAGGGGUCACGUGGUGAGCUGCAUAUUAUGAAGUAUAACCAACAUGUGAAGGGAUGAUGCGAUGUGGAAUUAUGUCACUAAAGCUUUGAUAUUAUUCUCAUAUUUUCCAGCCUGUGUAAAACGAGAUCGGUUGAUUGGCAUAUUACAUAUUUUACUCACUGGGCAAUGAUGGUUGUUGCUCACUCCACCCUUUUAUUUUAUAGUCCCUAGACUCAAUUUAAUGUCAACAUAUGCAUUCAAUGUCUUUUUUUAUCAUAACUGAUAGUGUCCAUGAAUUAAAUUUUAUAAAAAAUAUUGUAAAUUAUAAUACUCAUUUGAAUUCAAAUGAGUUAGCUUUUUUUUUAACAUACGAUAUUAUCUGCACUAAGGGAAGGGGGUGUGUUAAGCCUCACAAUGUGCUAGCAAUAAUGUGGUUCAAAUUCGCCUUUGGCGAGAAUCGAACCUAAGACCUCACUUACAAGUGAAGAGGAAUAUCACUGGACCGUAGUACUAAGUGGCAAAUGAAUUAGCUUUUAUUUGUUGACAUUUUGCAUCACCAAUUUAUGGUAAGUAUCUUAUAUAAGAAAUAUUUUGGUAGAGACUUUUCGGUACACUAGUUCAGUAUUAUGUUUAGGUACAGACAUUUUCUCGUUUAGUAUAACAUAUUUAGGUACGAACAUUUCGGUACACUAGUUUUGUAUUAAUAACAAUGCUCAAUCAAGCUUUACAGAGUUGCAGAAAUUAUGAGAAAAGUUGAAGAGCUUCAGAAAUGUAAGAGUCGAAGAUAUAGAGAGAAGAGAGAGAAAGAGGGAAAAGUAUAACUUUGAACAGAUUCACAUUAUUGAGAAAUGAGAGGCUACAACAGUACAUAUGGUGUUUGAGAUUCUAACUAACUAGCUUACAAUACAAGGCAGCCAGCUAACUAACUCAUAACAAUCUAAUCUUAUUACAAUCCAAUUACACUGUGACACAUGGACCGAUAUACUAAAGCUAUAUCAGCAUUCUAUUAUUACUCCCCUUCAAUCUCAGCUGGGAUAUCCAAGCCUGAGAUUGCUGCAAUGUUUGAUGAAAACUGGGCUGUGUCAUCCUUUAGUCAAAAUGUCUGCAACUUGUGACUCAGUUGAAACAUAAUCAACUGUAGUGUCUCUUUUCUACACUCUCUCUGACAAAGUGAUAAUCAGUGUCUAGUUGUUUUAUUCGAGAAUGAAAUACUGGGUUUGAACUGCGUGCCAAAGUAGAAAUGUUGUCACAAUGCAUAGCAGGUGGAGAAGUUACAAACUCAUUCAAAUCUUUGAGCACAGAUCUUAUCCAGCAAACAUCAGCAGUGCAAUGUUCUAGUGCUUUGUAUUCAGCUUCAGUUGAACUUCUUGAGACAAAGGCUUGCUUCUUUAAUUACCAUCACCCAAAUACACAACAUAACUUGUUAUUGACCUUCUUAUAUUUAUGUCUGCAGCCCAAUCAACAUCAAAGAAAGCUGAUAUAUGAAUCAGUUGAUGGAGUGUAAGUAAGACCACAUUCCAAGGUUCCUUGUAGAUAUCCCAUCAUUCUUUUCACAAGAAAGAAGUGCAUAUUAGUAGGCCUAGUCAUGUAUGGACAAACAACAUUGAUAGAGUGUGUAAUGUCAGGCCUAGAGAAUGUCAAGUAUUGUAAUGCCCCACCAAACAUAUAUAAAUGGUAGGAUCAGACAUAGGCUUGCCUUCAAAGACAAGUAACUGAGUGUGUGGUUUGGAUGGAAUUGGUGUAGGUCUACAAUUUUCCAUUCUUGCCUUUUUUAGUAAUUCUCUGGCAUAUUUUGUUUGAUUGACAAAGAGACUUCCAUCUGCCUUAUAUUGAAUAUGAAGUCCAAGAAAGUAUAUCAACUACCCCAUAUCCUUCAAAUCAAAUAACUCUCCAAGUUGAGUGAUAAUCAUUGAACUUUGGACUUGUUAAAACCUGUCAAGAUGAUAUUAUCUACAUACAAUAGUAGAAUGAUUAUAUCCUCUCCAUCAUUCUUGACAAUUACACUUGUAUCAAAUUGAGAUACACUGAAUCCCAAAUAUGGUAACACACUUGUGAACUUUGAAUUCCAAGCCCUAGGUGCUUGUUUGAGUCCAUAUAAAGAUUUAACCAACUUACACACAUGUUGAGGACAUUUUGGAUCUAUAAAGCCUUGUGGUUGCUUCAUAUAUAUGUCUUCUUGAAGAUCUCCAUGCAAGAAGGCCUUCUUAUUGUCAAGUUGUCUAAGUUCCCAUUUAUGACAAGUAGCAAGAGCAAGAAUCAACCUUACAGUAGUGUGUCUCACAACUGGAUUGAAGGUUUUAACAUAAUUAAGCCCUUGUUCAUGUGUAUACCCUUGUGCAACCAAUCUUGUUUUGUAUCUUGCAAUGUUGCCAUAUGGAUUCUUCUUUAUUUUAUAAAUCCAUUUACUCCCCACAAUAGACCUAGUAGCUGGAGUUGGAACCAAUAUCCAUGUACAUUGAGCCUUUAGUGCAUCAUAUUCAUCCUGCAUUGCUUGCUGCCAAUGAGGAUUUGAUGAAGCGGCUUUGAAUGUUUUUGGUUCAUUUGUAUCAUUGAUUUCUGCUAAAAAGGAAUAUAUAGCAUAAUCAUCAAUUUGUAAUGCUUUUAGCUCAGGUAACACAGACAAAUAACCAGCAUAGUUUUUCCUCAUAAUUGCACUAGAUUGCAAUCUAGUUGUCAUAUUGUGUGUUUUGCCAGAACUAGAUUAGAUUCAGAAAUGGAUUCAUAUGUAUCUGUAAUAGGCAAUAUUACCUGAAGUUGUGCAGGAUCAAGGAUAGGCAACAAUGGGAGAAAUUGAUCUUGUGUUUGAGGAAGAACCUGUGAACUAUGUGUUUCAGAUUCCUAAGAUGACCCUGCAACAUUUGAUGAUUGAGUGUGAUUAGAACCAUUUUGAAGUCCACUAGAUGUUGAUGUAGAUCCUGAAGUAUACCAGUAUCAAAUUUUUGUACUUGAGUUGAUGAAGUUGUGGCACGAUUCAUUGUCUGAGAUGUAUUAUUUUGACUUUCAAAAGUUACAACAUUCACAAUCACUAGAGAUGAAGAACUAGGAACUAUUGUGUUUAUAUUCUUAGAGAUUUCAACUCCAUUAACCUUUGCUGGAAAUUGAUUUUCAUCAUGAAGCACAUGUCUGGAUAGAAUUAAUCUUUUGGCUUGCAGAUGAUAGCAAAUAACCCCAUUUAUAUCUUGAUGCAUAUCCUAAGAACAAACAUACUGAAAACCUAGGUUGCAGUUUGUUAUCAUUAUAAUGCCUUAGGUAUGGAUACACAGUUGUGCCUAAGAUUUUCAACUCUUGUAGAUUAGGAUGUUUGUCAAACAAUGCAAAAUAAGGAGAGUUCAUGUGUAGUGUUUUAGAAGGCAUCCUAUUUAUUAAGAACAUUGCAUGAGCACAUGCAUGAUACCAAAAUUCUUAAGCUAGACCAGCUGCAUCCAUUAGAGUAAUUGCAGUUUCAAUAAUAUGGUGAUGUUUUCUCUCAGCCAAGCCAUUCUGUUAUGGUGUGUAAAGACAUGCCACUCUGUGAGUUAUGCCAUUUGAUGCUAUGAAAUCCUUAAAUGCAUUACUUAUGAAUUCACUGCCUCCAUCUGAUUGUAAAUUUUAAAUUUUAAAACCAAAUUGCACUUCAACAAACUCAAUAAUUUUUAUGUAAGAUUUUGUUGAUGUAUGGUGUAAUUGUUAUAAUUUUAUUUUAUUUUCCACCAUAUCUUGGUUGUAGAAUUUAUUUCUAUAGUUAAGAUAUGGCUCACACCCUAGCUUGUGAAUAGUCUUUAUAAGUGGGUCGGGGCGUGACAUUUACAACAGAGAAAAUAACGAGGAGCAUGCAUUGCAUGCAGUAAGAGUUCACAUAGAGAUUAUAUAUACUUGUAUACAUAGAAAGAGCGGAAAGAAAGUAUUUGGUUGUCUCGGUGGGAUUCGGUAGAUAAAUUGUCUUGCCGAAGUUCUAGCUAUCGAUCGAUGUGAGUGGUUUAUGUAAUGUGUUCAAAAUAUUCUUGUUUUCCUAUAAAUUUGAAAACCAUGAGCUCUCGUGGGUUUUGAUCUAUUUCCAAAUAUCUUUCUAUUUCAAGUCAAGCAUGUUGGAUUUGUUGAAAUGUUUUCGGAGUGAUUAUAUAUGGUGAUAUGUGGAUAAUUGGAUAUGCUUAUGGAGCAUAAGAACUUUAGUGUUGGGCUAUCCGAGGGAUAAAUGUAUGGCACAUGGUGACAUUAGGGCAAAACGACCAAUUUAGGGGUCACGUGGUGAGUUGCAUAUUAUGAAGUAUAACCAACAUGUGAAGGGAUGAUGUGAUGUGGAAUUAUGUCAUUAAAGCUUUGAUAUUAUUCUCAUAUUUUCUAGCCUAUGCAAAAUGACAUCAGUUGAUUGGCAUAUUACAUAAUCUACUCACUGGGCAAUGAUGGUUGUUGCUCACCCCACCGUUUUAUUUUAUAGAUGAGUUAUUUGGCAAGAGAAUGACUAAAUGAGCUGAGGUUGUGUCAUAAGAGCGGGAUUUAAGAGUUUUAUUAUAUUUGUACACUCUGUAAGGGUUUUUCAACCGUGUAUUUCGUUUGUUUUUGUUUUUUGUUUUUAGUCGUGCACCAAACAUGGGUUAAUUUUUUCACCGGUCCUGGGUCCGGGGCGUGACGGUGGCGAUCAUCUAAGAUUUUCUCCUUGCAUUGGUGCUCGGAACGAUGUUACUCGAUGUUCGAUACCGACUUUUUAGCUCUUCCACCCUUAGCUGGGUCAUAAUGCUGACAGUAUGGUCAUCGGUAUGAUCCCCCAACGCCUUCUUAUAACUCACUGAGAGAGGAUUUUCAGCUAACUCAACCAUAUCUACCUGGGGUAUCGAAGACCCUAGGUAGUCAGAGGUAUUGAAGAAGUCUCCAUCCCCUAUCUCACUAAAAGCGGCUCUGAUGACAUCUUGUUUAAGGUUCUCCUUUCGAUAGCCAGAGGUGGAUUAUUCUUCUGGGGCAGUUGAUGAAAAGAGUCUCAUAAAUCUACCAUCGGCGCUCGGUGGACGAGGUUAUCGCCAAAACUGACUUGUAAGUCGUCAAGGUCGUCGUGAUCUAUUCUUUCACUCCCAACCAAUUGCUAGUAGUUUUGAGUCUGUUGGUCUUAUAUCUGAGCCUGAAGCGCAAGACAUCGCGGUGCUCGGUCUUUACACAUAUUUUUGGUCUCAUUAAUGUGAAAUGAACUACUUAUACAAAAUUAGAUUACUAAGGCUGUUAAAGGGCUCGUUCAGAUGAGUUUUGAAACCUACGUAGCCUACCAAGUAAGCAAAGAUGUCCUACUUUAAUCUGCCAACCAGACUUAUCGGACUUUGUCUUCAUCGACAUCUACUCACAGUGGUGACAACCGACCGUUUGAAUUUCAUGGAAAAAUAACAACCACAAAAAAUAUACCAAGUGAAAACAAAGAAAGGUGCUGAUGUGAGAAACUAACAUAAGAAAGGUCAAAGCAGAAGAUUGGAGACUUGUGGAACCAUUAUGGACACUGAAAAUAUCACGGUACGAAUUCGACAGAGUAUCGACUGAAAAGACAAAGUGAAAUAAAAAUUACUCCCGGGAUUAAGUCUAUAUAAGCCCCACUGAGUGCUUGAUCUCAGCCGAUUAAAAAAGAGCCAAAAUGAUCAUAUCAUGACACGUGACAACCCACUUGCUCCGUUUCUGAAACGAAAGGGAUGCGAAACGACUUCACAGUCCACAAGGCCAUGUUUAUCUGCUACGCCUUCAAUGCUCAGAUGCCUUGAUUUCUCCAUCAACCCACAACAGACACGAACACAACGAGCAUAGAUAUCCCGACCGUUUCUAUCUUGACCAAGGAGUCAGGAGACUGAUGAAUUUCGAACAAUGUAUUUCCAAGAAAAAGGCCGGCCACCAAAGCGCCCCGCCUCAAACAUCUUACAGAACACCAUGGUAUUAUUUUAGGGUUUAACCGACUAUUAACACAUGGUCUUUUUCAGACUUUUUGACCCUAAAAUAGUGCAGGUCUAAGAAAGACCUAGUAACGGCUCAAGGCAAUCCAAAUAAGGAAAAAAAGACCAAGGCCCAAGGGAACUAGGGCGAUAGCUUCGAGUGUUGUGGAUGUCCGCUCAAUGGUUGGGUUUGACUAUUACCAAAGAAGCCGAGCACCUUUUCAUAAAGUAUUUUUCGACCGCUAAAGGCAAGUGUCACGCUCUGAACCCAUGGUCGGUAAUUAAAACUUGAAUCCAAAUCUGAAACGUGAGUUAAAAGCUCAAUAAAUAAAAUGAAAUUGAAACAUGUUGGAAAAUAAAUUCCUCUUAUAAAAAGAAUUCAUGAUUCUUAAACAAAUCAAGAAUUCUUUACAACCUACAGUAAAUAGAUGAAUAAACAUUCUAUUCUCACAUCUAAUCCGAUCUCAUCCUGCGUACCCUCUUCAAUGUCUAGUUCAUAAACCUGCAUAACAAUAGAGGGAUGAGUUUUAACAGCUCAUGAGGGACAUAACCUUAUCACAGUAAAUUGACAAUAUUAAAUUAAGUGUCAUGAAAUCAUAUAGCCAAAUAUCAAAUCAUAAAUGAAAACAAUGCAUGUAUGCAAUCCAACCUCUUCAGCUACACCCGUUAAUUUAUAUAAUAAAACAGCGGAUCUGCACGUCCCAUACCAUGUAUUUUACCACUGCAGUGGUGGUUCGAAUGUUCUAUUAUAGAAACUAACCGCUUUACGAUAUCCCAAGCUCAUAAACCCUUUUUGCUAGUCAUCUUAUCUAAUUCAUUGAUCUCUAGCCCAAAUCACCCACAUCGACAAUUUUCCCACCGAUAUCCUAUUCUAAUGUGCACAUCGGGCUUGCCUGGAACUGGUUUCACAAUGAAUAGAUUCAACUACACAAAAGAUCCUUUACAACUACCCUCAUUUCCCGAAUUCCAAUCUCAACACUAAAGUUCCAACCACAUCUCACAACAUGAGUGAUGCACAAAUAAUGUCAUUUCAUCUUUCACAUGUAUCACAUUAUAUUCUCAACGAAUAGCAUUCUAGCAAUAAUUCCAUAACCAAUAACAAGUAAACACCUAACUGAAGCAAUUAGCCAAUUAAUAUCCAACCACAUUAAUCAACCAAAAAGAUCAAGAAUAUUAUAACACUUCACGAAAUUUAAUAAAAUCAAUUUCCGUAAAGGUCUGCCGUAUUUCCCCUACUUGAAUUCCAAAGCUAAAACGAAGAUCCACAUUACUACCGCAAUAGCUAAACCCACGUACUUGAACAAGCUCCUUGAUCACCAUGUAUUUCUUCUAGUCUCUUUUCUAUUCUAUCUAUAUAGAACUAUAUAUAAACAAAUAUAUAUAUAUAUAUAUAUAUAUAUAUAUGUGUGUGUGCGCGCGCGCGCGCAUAUGCCAAUCUCUAUGUAAACUAAUCCACGCAUUGCAUGCCAUCCCAUUCUCACUCAAGUUCUUAUUUUGGUUUUUAAUAGAAAUGAUGAUGAGCUUCUCCUAUUGAUACUAGAAGGAGAGGGUUAGUAAACUUAAUUACCGAGUAAAAAUAGUAAUAAAAUAUAGAAACUUAAGAUCGUUUCUUAUCCUAAUGGCAUUGAGGUGUCAAUUGCAUGGGAAAAGCACAAGACACGUCCACCUAUGUAGCUUCACAUAGUCACUAUGUAGAGUGCUCACAAAGCACUUGUGUCUUCUCACAAAAAGCCACCUCCUGCUUGAAUUUCAUGAGUCACAUACACACAUGUCCCUUGUAAGCAAGUUCAAAGCCAUUACCGCUUUGGUCUUUUCCACUUAGCUAAGCUAUAAAGCUUAGUCAUGUAUUAGUAAGCAUGAAAUCACUUGCUUGUAACAUGCAUAACACCUAACACGGUUGAAAUGUACUAAACAUCUCCACAUAAUAUUAUGAAAAUAUGGGAUCUCACAGCAAGUUGGGAGACUAACAACUUUAUAGCACGAAGUUCCGGAGACAUAUUUGCUCUGACACCAAACCAAAGCACACAUUGGUCAUAAACAAGGAUAAAAGCAUAUAAGAAAAAACCACCUUAACAUGCUUGAACCAAAAUAGCCAUACCAGUAGUACUAUACAUGUCAUUUGUUUAAUAUAUGUGCCAAAAUUUAUAUUGACUAACUUUCAUAUAUAGAAAAUAUAUUAAAUACAUUGGCAGGCAUGUAUAUUGAUGGUAUAUAACUAGCAUAUGAUGUAUCCUUCCAACGCAAUUUUAAUGCGUGUUAUCCUAAUCAUAUAUUUACACAAUAUCAACAGUAAUUUUGAGAAAUUCCAUAAGAGAGCCAAUUUCAUCUCCUGUAGUCAGAAGUACGUCAAACUGUAUUCGAAUUCUUAUGCCCAUUUCUUAAUUGCAUUAAUCAGGUUGCAGUCAAAAUAUUCUGAAUAUUCUGUUCGUCGCAGGAAUCUCCUGGCGGACGAGCACACAGCUCCCCUGGGAGAAUGGCGUCGGUUGAGGGUAUCUGUCGUACUUCUGCUUUCUUCUCGGGCUCGCUCGGGCAAGCCUUUGUCGGGCAGAUCUUGGUCGGGCAAGACACACUUCGGGUAAGACAUAUUUGGUCUUUUAUGGUUGCCAGAGUCUUAUCACUAUUAUACCUUUGAUUAUCUGAAUCCAAGAGGUAGGACGAACCCAAAUGAGUGCCUUUGUAGGGCCUUAGGUAUAGGCCUUGAGGCUUCCCAUCAGAGUUAAUCCUUAUACUCGGACCAACUAGACCGCAACAUGAAAUGAAGCUAAAUAGAUGCCUUCGUGGGGCCUUAGGUGUAGGCCUUGAGGCUUUCUAUCAGAAUUCACUCCAUGCUUAAGCCUUUUCUACGAAUCAAGAUAUAAUAGCAACAAAACGGAGAAAUAGAUUGAUUACUUGCGCCCUAAGUAACUUCGGACUUCUCGCUUAUCAAGGAUUGUCGUGGAUGGGUUGAGUCCACAUAGAGUUCUUUUUUAUGCCUUGAGGCCAAGGACUUUUAAGCUGAUCUUUAAAUUACAUGCCCGCCGAGCUUAAGACUUAGAUCUGAUUUGAACUCUGACGCGAUUCAGAUCGGAUUCAAGUGCUGAAGACUCAUUUUCAUUAUGACUUUGCUAGAAAUAACUUGUAUAUAACUGGGAAUAUAUAACAUGUUAUUGUUCUUUUAAAAGAAAGAAAAGACAAAGACAGAGCAAAGAUAGUCGGGUAAGUUUGAACCUUAUCGGCCAAGGCUGAACUUCUUACAAAAUCUAUCUUUGUGGCUCUGUCAGAGGUCUGAAAGCUUUUAGAGGGGUUGAAGGGGGAGAAGAGGAUACAAAAUGAAUCGAUACCACCAUGAACAAGGUAGCAGAGCUAUUACAAGGGUUUGGGAAGGUUUAUCCCGAAUGGGAUGAAGGCUUGUGCUGACUACAGCUUCGUUGAAGGCAAAUUUGGCUUGAGCAGAGUUUUGGCUUUUGUUUGUUUGUUUGUUUGAGUGUCCCUAAUUCUGUCUUCUCUUCCUCCUUUUAUAGACGACUUCAGCUUGGGUUCCUGUAGCAAUAGCGGUGCCCGAAUGCGGUUUGGUGAUGACUCACUAGCUUUUUUACAUGAAUGCCACCAAUAAAGUACUUUAUUGGGCUGUGUAGUGACUGAAUAGCCUACCCCCUGUGGUCUUUGAGCAGGUAAGCAGGUGGCCUUUGUAACUUGUGCCCAGCCGAAAGCCUAUUUCCUGCCUCCUAAGUUUUCCUCUGGGCCUUGGGUUUGGGCCGACUUUCUCUCUGGCCCAAAGUUCAGAUUUUAUCCCAAACAGUGCCCCCUUCAAUUGAUGUUAAGGUUGGGAUCCCAAGCGCCAACAUUAAAUGAAUAACAGCAUGCGUGCCCUUUGAGAGCUUCUUGCGACCUUUAAACUGCCUUCUGGUUCUCUAUAAAUUCUGGCUUUGGAAACCCUUUUCAAAUCAUCACCUCUUCUUCAUUUUGGUCUUCACCCUUCAUCCACCUUGAAUCCUUCCGUCUCCCCACUGAGAAAUGGGUUCCUCAGGUUUUGAGUGGAGUUUCCUGAAACUCCCCUUUCGUGAGAAAAAAGAAAGUUUUCACCUGAUGAUUGCUACCUCCAACACCUUUGGUCGAUCACCCCUCUACCUCUAACACCCUUGGUCAGGCGGUCUCCUCUUGAUGACUGAUCUUCCCACAACUUGUGGUGAUAAGUCGGGCUUCAUCAUCAUACAUGGUGAAGAUCUUGUGGGAGGGUCCUCUACCAAGCUCAUGUUGGCCGCACAACCCGAUCACCUGAUUGGGUUUCAACCAAGAAGAUAGCGGGAAACCAGUUGAAGACACCAACACUUUCAGAGAGGAUCAAAUGUAAUACAUAAGAUUUGGUAUCUUGUAAUACAUAAGAUUUGGUAUCUUGUAAUCUCAUCAAUUUGUCGACAUGAAAUAAGUAUUUUUAUCUAUUUCUGCAUCUCUGUCUUCUUUAAAUGUUUGGAUGAACAAAAUACCGUAUGUGAAUUUCUAAGGUCCGUCUCACUCUGCUCCCUCUUCGAUAUAACAAUCCCUAACAUCCCAUAAUGUAGGACAAUAUUUCUUCAAGAAUUUUGCAUUAAUAGGGUGUUUCUGCUCAUUGCCUUCGAGGUCUGCUAGAUAAUAUCCUCCUUUGUUCAAAACCCGACUAAUAAUAAAAGGACCUUCCCAUGUCGGGCUCCAUUUCCCGAAGCCACGCAGCUGAGCGCCUAGCGGGAGGACCGCUUUCCACGCUAAAUCUCCUUCCUUGAAAGACUUUAACUUCACCCUUUUGUUAUAAGCUCGGGCAACAGCAAUCUUUCCUUCUUGAAUCUGGUUCAAGGCUUCAAUUCGGGCUGCAUCCAGAUCUUCAAUACCUUGACACACAUGGCUUCGAUAUAUUCUGCACUAUGCAACCCAAAUUGGUUUUGAAUUCUUACGGAACUGACGUUGAUUUCCAUAGGAAGCACUGCAUCUUGCCCGAAAGUCAAGGCAUAAGGAGUCGUGCCUGUCCCCGCUCUUUUAGAAGUCCGGUAUGCCCACAACGUGUUCCCUAGCAUCUCAUGCCACCUUUCUGGACUAUCAAUCACCAUCAUUUUAAUAAUGUUGACCAAGAUCUUGUUGCUAGCCUCUGCUUGCCCAUUUGACUAAGGGUAGUAUGGACUGGAUUGGAUCAUCUUUAUUUUGUACUUGCUUGCAAACUCUUCAACCUCCUUUGAAAUAAAAGAUGGCCCACGAUCCGUUACUAUAGUUUCAGGCACCCCAUACCUGUGCAGGAUCUUGGUCUCAAUAAAAUUCUCGACCACGGCUGAAGUUAUGGAUUUUACUGCCGAUGCUUCUACCCAUUUGGUGAAGUAAUCCGUUGCCACAAUUAUGAAAGUAUGUCCCUUACUAGAGGCCGGAUAAAUCUGCCCGAUGAAGUCCAUUGCCCAUCCUCGGAACGGCCAAGGCUUGACCACUAGAUUGAGAGGUACUGAUGGUACGUGCUGGAGAGGUCCAUGUCUCUGACAUUCUUCACAUCCGCGGGCAUAGGACUUACAAUCUUUUUCCAUGUCGAGCCAGAAAUAACCAUACCUUCUGAGUAGCCAUCUCAUCUUUGUUCCCGCUUGAUGUGCUCCACAUAUUCCCUCAUAUACUUCGGCCAUUACUCUCAUGGAUUCCUCUAGGCCUAAGCAUUUUAAUAGCAACCCAUCUGGGGUCUUUCUCAACAGAUUUUUUGUCCACAAGACAUACUUGGUUGCUUGCUGCCUGUUCUUCUUACUUGUGGGUGAAGAAGGAUCUUUCAGAUACUGAGUAAUAGGUGUCCUCCAAUCUUCCACCUCGAUCACUAGAACCAUUACAUCCAGACUGAACCUCCGAUCUAAGAUAGAGGGAAGGUUUCUUGUUUGGAUCUCAACAUCAACACCAUACUUCCUUUCUUGCAUUGGCACUCCUGAAGCUAGUUGCGCCAUUUCAUUGGCUGCCAAGUUAGAUCCCCUAGGAAUGUGAUUGACUGAUAUCUCAGACUCCCACAAACUCAGCAGUUGUGUUGCUGCCAUAUAGUACCCUGCCAUAGUGAUAUGUCUGCAUUUGAACUCGCCAUUUAGUUGAUUUAUCACUAACUCUUAAUCACCAAAGAUCUCUACUUCAGUUGCCCCCAAGUCCAUCAGGAUUUCCAGGCCGAUAAUCAAUGCCUCAUACUCCGCCCGAUUAUUGGUAUUUUCUUGAUAAUCAAGUAGGAAGGAAUAGUAAUGAUAAACCUCUUGAGGGUUUAUAAUCACAAUUCCAGCUCCUGCUGCCUUCUGAGUGUAGGAUCCAUCGAAAUAUAGCUUCCAAGGUGUAAUCCAAAGACCUGCUACUCUCCUUAUCUCUUUCUGGAUCCAAUCUUCUUUGCCCGAAACAUCACUUCUUGGUGGGAUCCAUACAUUAGCAACUUCUAAACUUCCCGGGAUAUUGAUUUCCUCGCUUUGAGACUCCUGAUGUUCGGUCAGGAAGUCAGCAAUUGCCUGGCCUUUGACUGCCCUCUGGGGUAUGUACUGAAAACUGAAUUCUGAUAAUGCUAGAAUCCACUUCCCAAUCCUCCCUGCUAGCAUAGGUCUUGACAACAUAUACUUUAUCACAUCUGUUUUGGCGAUAAUGUGCACAUGACAAGGUAGCAUGUAAUGCCUUAGCUUGCUGGCAGUAAAAUAUAGAGCCAAACACAGUUUUUCCACCGGAGAAUAUCUUGUUUCUACCUCGGUCAGAAUUCUGCUGAGGUAAUACACAGCCUGCUCUUUUCCUCCUUCAUUAUUCUGGGCUAGUAGACUCCCAAUUGAUCUUUCCGAUGCAGAAAUAUAUAGUUUCAAUGGCUUUCCCCUUUGAGGUGGCACCAGCACUGGUGGGGAAGUUAAGUAAGCCUUGAUGCUAUCAAAUGCCUGCUGGUGGGUUGGCCCCCACUCAAAAUUCUCCAUAUCCUUCAAUCUCAGUAGCGGAGUUAGUGGCUGGAUUUUGCCCGCCAAAUUAGCAAUGAAUCUCCUUAAGAAGUUGAUUUUACCUAGCAAUCUCUGAAGCUGUACUUUGUUGGUAGGUGGAAGUGACUCUAAUAUUGCUCGAGACUUAUUUUUGUCCACCUCCACACCUCUCCGACGCACCAAGAAUCCCAAAAAAUUGCCCGCUCUUACUCCAAAAGCGCAUUUCUUUGGAUUCAUCUUCAACUUGUGGAUCCGCAUCUUCAUCAAUGCUUGCUUGAGGUCCACGAGAUGCUGCUCUUCUGUCUUAGAUUUCACCACAAUGUCAUCGAUAUACACCUCCAUGCUUUGGCCAAUUAAAUCAUGAAAAAUGGCAUUCAUUGCCCUUUGAUACGUGGCGCCUGCAUUUUUGAGCCCGAAUGGCAUGACCAGAUAUUCAUAUGCCCCCACAUGACCAGGACAUCUAAAAGCUGUCUUAUGAAUAUCCUCUGGCGCCAUCUUUAUUUGAUUGUAACCGGCAUUUCCAUCCAUAAACGAUAAAACUUUAUGCUUUGCUACAACAUCUAUGGAUAAGUCAGCCAUGGGCAUGAGAUAUUCAUCCUUUGGUGUGGCGCUAUUAAUAUUCCUAUAAUCAACACAACACCGUACUGCUUUUGUUAUAGCUUUUAAAACGGGUACAAUGUUGGCUAGCCACUCUACAUAUUUGGCUGGUCUAAUAAAGCCAGCUUUCACCAGCCUUUCAAUUUCUUCUUUGACUUUUUCUUCUAUCUCCUUUGACAUCCUUCGUGGUGCCUGCUUGACAGGUUUAUAUCCUUCCUUGAUGGGCAUUCUAUGUUCCACCAAGGCUGGGUCUAAUCCUGGCAUCUCGGUGUAAUGCCAAGCAAAACAAUCUUUGAAUUCUUGCAAAAGAGAGAUAAUCUUGGCCCGAUCCUUAAUCCUUAAUAAACCGCUGAUUUGAAUUGGUCUCGGAUCCUCUUCUGUGCCUAGAUCAAUAACUUCCAAUGGAUCCUGGACUUCUGGAGGUGGCUUAUCAGGUUCUGCACACAAAAAUUCAACUAACUCCGGGUUCUCGGGCAGACCGUCUGGCUCGUCUAUAUCGUAGACGCAUUCGGCCAUUUGAAUGGCCUUAUCUAACUCCUCUGUGCAAGAUUCUUCCUCAUUUUCCUGCUGGCUGGUAGAAACUUUCCCCUGCCACUCCUGCUCUUCUUUAUCCAAGAGCUUUUCUUCCUGUCUUCUUCCCUUUCCAUACAUCAACAGUCUUUUAAUCAGGGAUCUGACUGCCAUGACCUGAUCUUUCUUCUUUUGUUCAAUCAUUGAUGGUAUAGAGAGUUUGGUAUAAGACAGGGUCUCUCCCACUCCUCCUUGGUAAGGAGCAUCCCUUGUUCUAGAAGCUUUCGGGCCGUCACCUUGGUAGGGCGGCUGUUCUCAUCAGCUCCUAAACAUUUCAAAAUUCCCACGUUGGGAUUGUAGAAAUUUGCUUCUGCAACAUUAGCUGAGGGGAGGAACGGCCGUGAUUCGGCCUCUACCAACUCCCAAAAGCUUGAUCAUUCAGUACUUGCCUCGUGGUAUACAGCCACUUGUUGAUGAAGAGUAGAAGGUAUGGCUAAACUUUGAUGAAUCCAAUCUCUUCCAAGUAGGGCCCCGUAAGUGGAAGUGCAGUCUACUACAAAGAACGCCAACAUUAUUUUCUUGGACCCCAGAUCUACCUCCAAAGGUAAUAUCCCAUGAGUCAUGGUGAUGGCACCUGAAAAGCUCGAGACUGUAAGGUUUGUGGGAAUAAGAUCUUCAGUGCUUCUCCCCAUCCUCUUCAUCUGCUUGGCUGGCAAUAUGUUAACAGCCGUUCCUCCAUCAAUCAAAAUUCUUUUGAAAGGUACACCUUCCAGAUGAGCUGAAACGUAUAUAGGCUUCAGGUGGUUGGCCAACGAAAUACUUGGGUGGCUGAACACCAUUUUAUCUGUGUAAAUCCGUAGGGGACCACAUUUAGGUACUUUUGAGGAUUCAACCUUGCCUGAGUCUUCCUCUGUAACUACCUCCACAUUGACGUGAGCCAUCAUCGGCUCAGUUGUUAAAUAAUCACCUUCCAUGGUAGCGGGCUGGUCAGUCCUGGCGCCAAACAUGGCGGAUAAUACAUACGUAAUGUUGAUGUGGAAGUUGCUGGGUUCGAGCAAGUCCUCCUUCUUGCUCCUAAUGUGAUCCAUGAACUCGUCUAACCAGGCCAUUGCAUCGGCUGGUAGUAAGGGCUCUGGUAUCCCUUCCUGUUGUGGUUGAUUCAUGUCUCCGUACAGCGCUUGCUUUGGAACUUCACCAAACGGAUCCAAAGGCAAAAAGGUUGGUCUCCUCUCAGAUGCAACAGUUUCCUCAUGGGUGGGCCCUGGCCUCCAACCAGGUGUUGGCAUCAUAGUCAGAUCUUCCUGAGCCCUUCUUAAGAUCCUAUACUUGCCAGGAUGUUGGCUUUGUGGCACAUGAUUCCCCAUACCCUCCGUCUUGCCGUUGGCCCUUUCUACUUCCUUCUUACUUCGCCAACGAAGCUGACUACUACUUCCAGAUGUUGCCCUCUCUGGCUUUUGAUUUUUUGAGGCUUCAGAGGUGAUGGGGGUCAUCAGGGAAUUCAUGUAGGCUUUGUGCUGCCUUUGAACCCUUCUGACCAUGGAUGCUCCCAUUGGUCUGGUGGGCUGCCCAUCUUUUCUAACUACAUACCAUUUCCGCCCACGAUAUGCAGGAGUUGCUUUCUUAACAGGAUUAGCUAUCCCAUCAGUUCUUUUGACUUCCUUCCCCUUUUGGCCAUUUUGAAGCUGCUCUGUACUUCUUUGGAGUUUGGCUUCCAUGUCCUCUGCCUCGUCAGAAACUUCAUAGUUUCGAAACUCGUCAGAAACUUCAUAGUUUCGAAAUACUUCUAACAACGCCUUGGGUUGGGAAUCACCUCCUAAACGUUGAAAAACGCUUCGGGAAGUAUUUUUUCUUGUUGCCUGUUUAAGCCUUUCGCGGGCUUCUCUUUUAAUUAACUCGUGAUCAAUAAGGACUCCAGCUGGGGGAAUCUCGAGUUCACAUUCACACUGGCAUUUACUACACAUAACCAGUCCUUUGAUUAUGGCAGCCUUUGGGUACUCGGAUGGUUUGCCUAUCCCUUCCGUAGGUCGUUUGGCUAGUUUCCCUUCUUCUUCUUCCCUUAUAAUUUUCCCUUUUCCUUUCUCUGCCCAGGUCAUGUUGAGCAUGUUUACCGGGGCUUCAGAAAAGGGCAACACAGGGUUGACUAUGACUACCUCAUCUGGUUGGGUAGUCCUGUGUCUUUCUCCUUUGGGAGGAGCCAAACCUGUCUCAUUUCUAGAGCCUAGGGAGGCUUCAUUCAGUCUCUAUAGCAUUUGAAACAAUGUAUUCUGUAAAUCUUCUGGCAUGUUUAUCUUUAUCUUCAGAUCAGAGGAUCCCACCGGGCGUGCCAAAACUAUGUUCGUCGCAGGAAUCUCCUGGCGGACGAGCACACAACUCCCCUGGGAGAAUGGCGUCGGUUGAGGGUAUCUGUCGUACUUCUGCUUUCUUCUCGGGCUCGCUCGGGCAAGCCUUUGUCGGGCAGAUCUUGGUCGGGCAAGACACACUUCGGGCAAGGCUCGUCGGGCAGUUCUGAAAGAGAAGGACAGAGUUAAUUUGAAAUGGUGCCUUUGUGGGGCCUUAGGUGUAGGCCUUAAGGCUCACAAUCAAGAUUAACUUUGUCGUGCUCAGGCGUGCCACUGCCAUCUUCAGUAUGGCAGAUGUUGAAUGGGUGUUAAGCUUUGAUUGAAUAUGUAUACGCCCGAGAAACCAAGUUAGAUAUAACAGGUGCCUUUGUGGGGCCUUAGGUAUAGGCCUUGAGGCUUCCUGUCAAACUAAACCAGCGCUUGGAUGUAUCAUAUUUUGGUCUUUUAUGGUUGCCAGAGUCUUAUCACUAUUAUACCUUUGAUUAUCUGAAUCCAAGAGGUAGGACGAACCCAAAUGAGUGCCUUUGUAGGGCCUUAGGUAUAGGCCUUGAGGCUUCCCAUCAGAGUUAAUCCUUAUACUCGGACCAACUAGACCGCAACAUGAAAUGAAGCUAAAUAGAUGCCUUCGUGGGGCCUUAGGUGUAGGCCUUGAGGCUUUCUAUCAGAAUUCACUCCAUGCUUAAGCCUUUUCUAUGAAUCAAGAUAUAAUAGCAACAAAACGGAGAAAUAGAUUGAUUACUUGCGCCCCAAGUAACUUCGGACUUCUCGCUUAUCAAGGAUUGUCGUGGAUGAGUUGAGUCCACAUAGAGUUCUUUUUUAUGCCUUGAGGCCAAGGACUUUUAAGCUGAUCUUUAAAUUACAUGCCCACCGGGCUUAAGACUUAGAUCUGAUUUGAACUCUGACGCGAUUCAGAUCGGAUUCAAGUGCUGAAGACUCAUUUUCAUUAUGACUUUGCUAGAAAUAACUUGUAUAUAACUGGGAAUAUAUAACAUGUUAUUGUGCUUUUAAAAGAAAGAAAAGACAAAGACAGAGCAAAGAUAGUCGGGUAAGUUUGAACCUUAUCGGCCAAGGCUGAACUUCUUACAAAAUCUAUCUUUGUGGCUCUGUCAGAGGUCUGAAAGCUUUUAGAGGGGUUGACGGGGGAGAAGAGGAUACAAAAUGAAUCGAUACCACCAUGAACAAGGUAGCAGAGCUAUUACAAGGGUUUGGGAAGGUUUAUCCCGAAUGGGAUGAAGGCUUGUGCUGACUACAACUUCGUUGAAGGCAAAUCUGGCUUGAGCAGAGUUUUGGCUUUUGUUUGUUUGUUUGAGUGUCCCUAAUUCUGUCUUCUCUUCCUCCUUUUAUAGACGACUUCAGCUUGGGUUCCUGUAGCAAUAGCGGUGCCCGAAUGCGGUUUGGUGAUGACUCACUAGCUUUUUUACAUGAAUGCCACCAAUAAAGUACUUUAUUGGGCUGUGUAGUGACUGAAUAGCCUACCCCCUGUGGUCUUUGAGCAGGUAAGCAGGUGGCCUUUGUAACUUGUGCCCAGCCGAAAGCCUCUUUCCUGCCUCCUAAGUUUUCCUCUGGGCCUUGGGUUUGGGCCGACUUUCUCUCUGGCCCAAAGUUCAGAUUUUAUCCCAAACAUAUUCAAUCUCUUAUGUCAGUACGAAAACUUUUCAAUGGCACCACAAUAAAGAACUGAGGAACAAAUAAUCAAAAAUUGGUUUCUGAAUAUUAGUUACCUUUGCUUUAUAAUUUUCUUUCCCUCAAUUAGUAUAACUCGAUUAGUAUAUGUUACUCACAUGUAUAUAUGAAAUUAUCAUGUUUAAACCAUAUACCCUCUCUUCUAAUAACCAAGUUCAAACCAUAAAUAUCAACACCGAUUGCUUUGAUAAAUGACUUCAUCGAGCUUGCUGAGUUGACGCGCUUCAUCAGUCUUCCAGUGCAAGAUCAGCAAAAUUUCAGAGUUCAAACCAUAUAUAUCAACACCGAUUGCUUUGAUAAAUGACUUCAUCGAGCUUGCUGAGUUGACGCGCUUCAUCAGUCUUCCAGUGCAAGAUCAGAACAAAAUUUCAGAUAUACAUACAUACAUACAUACAUACAUACAUACAUACAUGCAUGCUUAUAAAAUCAACAACGACAUUUGAAGAAAGUGGUUGUAUUUAUCACUAUAUCAAUUAACCAAAACUAUGAGCAUGAAAACAAAGAAAAAAAAACCUAAAACAUGCCGUGGUUUUCUAGUCAUGGCUAGUUCGAUAUAGUUAUGAACCAACUAUUCAUAUCGUUACAAAAUUGAAUAAAGAAAGAUUUGAAGUACAGGGUAUUUACUUCGAAACUCAAAUAAUUUGGAUACAAUUAACACGAUCAAUAAUUAUAACAGAAGGUAUAAUCGUUAAUUAUUAAUAUGCCAAAAUCCAUGUAUUAUCGUACAUGCGAUCACAUGAUAUAUGACUAUAUAAUGACAUCAAGAAUUACCACUCCAAUCAAGAAUUAUUGACAUAUUGAUCAGCUUUCUUGCUUAUUAGCCUAAACUUUUAUUGUUUUAAUCAUAUAAUCAAGGGCUCUGAUACCACUUGUCAAGUUUAAAUGGUUAUAUAAUUAAAACACAAACAAAGGAGUGGCUAACCUGAUCGAAGUGGCAACCAUGGAAGACGAACAUGAGAAGAUGAGUAGCAAUACCGAAAUCUUCUACAAACACCUAGCUAGAUACAACUACUUUAUGGGAAGUGUUUUGUUGUGUGUCUAGGAUUUGCAUGGACCUUAGUAUCCAUCCACAAACCCAAAUCCCACUUUCUUAGCCUACCAGUUAGGUAUCAUAAACACAUAUUUAUCAAGGAUUCAAACCUUAUUUGGAUUCCAAGACACACAUUCAUAAGGCUGAUAUAAAGAGAUCAAAUCACAAUCUUAGCAUUACUCUCUAUUACUUCAUUCCUAUUACAGUGUAGACCAUUUAAAGAUUUAUUUAUAUUGGAUUAAAACCAACAUGUAUUUCGUUUCUGUUAAUAAAUCGUAUUGAAUGUUAUCAGAUCUCUACGUAUUAGAGAAUUGAUUUGAUUAAGAAUUGUCAUUGCAUUGUAUAUGAAAAGGGUAUACGAAAAGCAUAAUUAAGCUUCCAUUAAACAUUUAACAAGAAGAAUAGAAAAGAUUGCUUGUAGUUUUCUUUAUUCUUUCAAUAAUUAACUAUGUUUACACGAUUUUAUAGACUGAGAAACCAACAAGUUUCUUCACAUAAACUGAAGAUACAUACGAUUUUCCUAAAUUCAAUUUACUACAAGGAGUACCCUAGCUACUAAGUACGUACUAAUCAUCAAAGCUCAAAGCUCAAAAUCCUUAUUGCAAAACUUUAUUAUCAAAUUAACUCGCCUAUUAUCCUCGAAAACACAUCGUCAUCACCAUCAUACUGAUCAAUGCUUGAUGAAAACCCGCUCACGGGCCCAGAGGACUUGAAUGCCAUCAGAUCAUCUGGCGACACGAGAUAAUCACUCGGUAGCCAAUGGUUGUCGUGGCUUGUCAGCGUAUGAUCACUUGCUGCCUUGACAAUCAGUUCUUCUUUAACUGAUGAUGAAGCAAAGGAUGCGAAAAAUGGGUCCUCUUGUUUGUUUGUCAAACAAUUGGCGUUGUCAAAACUAAUGAACAUUGAAGAAUCUCUAAGAUUUGUGCAAUCCAAUACCAGGUCAGAAGUUUUGAAGUAGUCUCUGCACGUGUGGGUGCCAUAAUAUGUGGUUCGUAACACUGAUGGAUGAUCUUGAACUUGUUGAACAUGCUUGGUUGCUUUGCACCCUUGGUCGAAUUUGUAAGUGCAUCUAAAGUAGUUCCUGCAUACACAUAACAUAACUAUGGUCAACUUCAUUUCUUGUAAUUAUUACCAUUGUAACUAUUGAAAUUUGUUUCUAUUUUACAAGGUAAAUCGUAUAUAUGUAUGUACCUAGGAUGCUUCGCAUUGUGGAUAACUUUAUGUCCAUACUUUCUCCAUGCAUGACCAUCGUCAAUCAAACCAGGAGUAUCUCUAGUCCAAGAGUGUGUAGUCUUUCUGCAAAGAAUCAACAAGUUGCAACUCUUUAUUAGAACUUUUAAAUCAAUAAAUUGGGCAGAAUUCUCAUCUAUUUUUUUGAUAAAAUGUACGGUUAACGUUAACUGGUAAUGCUGGCAUUAUGCUGCCAUGGUAAGAAGGAUAGGAAUGGAUAUUUAGAUCAUUAAAUACAAGGAACAACUGAAGCAUCCAAAUUUUGUUAGAAUAUAGCAUAACAUGAACAUAUAAGAGCAAAUGGUAGUCUUCACUCUUUUGUCUCAAUAGAAAUUUCUAUGCAUUAUUGAAUAGAAAAAUACAAUUAUAUUCAUCCACAAGAAUCUAACCGUUGUUAUGAGAAAAUUAAUUAUAAUUCUAGUUGUUCACACAUCCACAUAAAUCUAACAACUGUUAUGAACAAAUUAAUUACAGUUAUUCUUAUCACGGGUGGGUCAUUAGUUCUCAAAGAGACUAUUUAGUAUUGUAGGUAUUAUACAUAAAUGUUUGAAAUUGAACAAUCAGGUAAUCAUACAUGGAAAGAUCCUUUUACUGGAAAAAAAAUUCAUUUUAAACAAUAUGUUAAUUAUGCAGAUGUUGAUGAUCAUAUUACCUAGGUAGUAAUUAAUUAGAGAAAUAUAACUAAUUACCUUCUCUUGUAAGAACCUCUACCAUCCUUGAAGGUUGAAGUGCUCUUACAACUGAUCUCCUCCUCAGUAUAAUCUUCAGACUUAAUAGUAGCUGCAUGAUCAUGAUUAGCAUCCCAAGAUGAUAAAUCAGCACCACCACCACUAACAACACUACCACCGUCACUAACACCACCACCACCACCACCACCACCACUAACAACACUACCACCGUCACUAACACCACCACCACCACCACUAACACCACUACUAUUUCCUUGAAUCUGGUCAGAAACAAACUCCUGAUCAGACUCCUUCCCAUUUAAAAUCAAAAGGGUAUUAACAAAACCUUCAGCCGAUCCCUCAUCAUCACCGUUAACAACUGACCUGUUAUCGUAAGCCGUACUAAGUUGACUUGCCAGUUCACGGCCUUGGAUCAACUCCUCCAUAACCCUCUCCCUAUUUGAGAGCACACUGUCCGACCACGACCACUCCAUUAAUCCUAAUCUCCUGCUUAACUAACUACUAUAGCGAUUAAAAGUUAAUUAAUCUCUCUUGUUUAUGUGAGGGAUUAUGGUUUUGUUAGCUGUAGCCAAAGUGUUGGAUGGGAGGUAUCCUUUUAUAUCCGUCAAAAAACUCCUCUGACAUUGCAAUUAAUCUUAAAUUGAUGUAUGAAAUAGCAAUAUUAAAAGAUGAGGUAUGAAUUACUAUGUGACCCAAAGUUGAGAUGAUAAAAUGUAAUUUACUAUAUGCCACAAUUUUAUUUGUUACUAAUGUGGCCUAUUGAAUUUAAAUGUUAAAUCUUUUUCCUUUUCAAUGAAUGGAGAAAUUUUUUAGUGUGCCGAAUAGUAUAUCAAGUGUCAAAAUAUAAAUGAAUGAAAUUUUUUUUUUUUUAAGUUUUCAACUAAUUGUAUUAUCACUUGGUUUAUCGAGCCGUAUUCCCGGCACAUUAAAAAAUUUCUCUAAUAAAUGUGUUAAAUAUUUAUUUUAUUAAGAUAGUGGGCCUCAUAAUUACAUUAUUUAUUAAAAAAAUAAUCAAAAUUGGUGUAAUUUUCAUUCUAUUGGUUGUCAAUAUGAUCCAUGUAUUAAUAAAAAAAUUAAAGCCAUUUGACUCUAUCUUUGUUUGUUGUAAAAAAGACAGAUAAAAAAUAAGAAAUUAAAUUACUCAGCUACUACGUCAUGGACGACAUCUUUUUUUACAACACUUUAAUGUGUUUUAUUUCUAGUUAGUAUAUUUGACAUCUGCUUAGAUUUGACAUCUCCUUGUAAGAUGAGCUCAUGUUGAAGGAAGGAGAAGUGAAAGUCCAGUAAUUCGACACCAUCCCCGCCAUUAAGGUCUAUCUUUUCUACCAAUCGCUAGAUUAGCCCUCGACAUAAUUCUAUAUUUGGUUGACUGUUCCACACGCGGUUGUUCUAUACUUGUUGCGAUAGUACGAUAUGUUUUACGACGUCAUUGAUGAGGUAACCCUAGUGUCGUCAGCCACGUGUUCUAAUUAAUUUUAUUUUUUUAUAAUAUUAGCUAACCAACAAAACAAAUUCACUAGUUGUUGGGCCAUCUAUAUUAUCUUAUUAUCCUCAUUCUGAAAUUAUACUCUCUUGCCCUUUGGGCGAAUUACGAUUGCAUCCUUUAGAAUUGUGCUCUUGGAGCGUUUGAGAGGUGGAGACUUUAGUUAUAUAUGGCAAAGAGAGUUGCAUUAGGGUUGUUAAUACGAUGACACUAAGGUGGUAGUUUACAUCUUCAACGUGGCUGUAAAAUCUCGUAUAUUACGUAAUAUAAUAUAUAUGUGUGUGUAUUUCUCUUAUUAUUCAGAUUUACUAUUUCAUUUUCGUAUCGCUUGGAAUUAUUGACCUAUCACCCUUAUACCCAUUAGGAAACCAUGUUUUUACAUCUUAUCUUAGUUAGAUUUUUGACGUGGCAUAUUCCGGAGCAACUGAUUAAAAUAGCGUUAGUAGUUGUUAAACCCAUGGAGGUACGGAAAUUAUUAUUUGCGUGCAACAGUACCAGGUGUUUGGUUUAUUAGAGUGAGUAAACACUUUGAUGCCACGACUAUCAUAUAUGCUGGUGACUUAUCUUCUUCUUAUUGUACUUUCAAAAGACAGAGCCCCUAAGUAACUCAGUAGCUUCAGUUUCAACCAAUUAGAGUCUUUGGGGUGCCGACUAUUUGAGACCAUAAAUAGGAGCAUGUCCCAUUGUUUUACAACAGAGAAAAUAACGAGGAGCAUACAGUGCAUGCAGUAAGAGUUCACGUAGAGAUUAUAUAUACUUAUAUACAUAGAGAGAGCGGAGAGAAAGUAUUUGGUUGUCUCGGUGGGUUUCGGUAGAUAACUUGUCUUGCUGAGGUUCUAGCUAUCGAUCGAGGUGAGUGGUUUAUGUAAUGUUUUCAAAAUAUUCUUAUUUUCCUAUAAAUGUGAAAACCAUGAGCUAUCAUGGGUUUUGAUCUAUUUCCAAAUAUCUCUCUAUUUCAAGUCAAGCAUGUUGGAUUUGUUGAAAUGUUUUCGGAGUUAUUAUAUAUGGUGAUAUGUGGAUAAUUGGAAAUGCUUAUGGAGCAUAAGAACUUU